GACGAACGCUGGCGGCGUGCUUAACACAUGCAAGUCGAACGGAAAGGCCCUGCUUUUGUGGGGUGCUCGAGCGGCGAACGGGUGAGUAACACGUGAGUAACCUGCCCUUGACUUUGGGAUAACUUCAGGAAACUGGGGCUAAUACCGGAUAGGAGCUCCUGCUGCAUGGUGGGGGUUGGAAAGUCUCGGCGGUUGGGGAUGGACUCGCGGCUUAUCAGCUUGUUGGUGGGGUAGUGGCUUACCAAGGCUUUGACGGGUAGCCGGCCUGAGAGGGUGACCGGCCACAUUGGGACUGAGAUACGGCCCAGACUCCUACGGGAGGCAGCAGUGGGGAAUAUUGCACAAUGGGCGGAAGCCUGAUGCAGCAACGCCGCGUGCGGGAUGACGGCCUUCGGGUUGUAAACCGCUUUCGCCUGUGACGAAGCGUGAGUGACGGUAAUGGGUAAAGAAGCACCGGCUAACUACGUG
This 468-nucleotide ribosomal RNA is filed under the name uncultured bacterium. RNAcentral's name for it is "partial 16S ribosomal RNA". It matches the Rfam family "Bacterial small subunit ribosomal RNA", at positions 28 to 507 of the family's 1533-position model. The record is from RNAcentral.